RNAcentral lists this non-coding RNA (214 nucleotides) under Halobacillus sp. RNAcentral's name for it is "T-box sequence". It matches the Rfam family "T-box leader". From Rfam's summary of the family: Uncharged tRNA acts as the effector for transcription antitermination of genes in the T-box leader family. T-boxes are found upstream of many aminoacyl-tRNA synthetase genes and some amino acid biosynthetic genes usually in Gram-positive bacteria. The anticodon of a specific tRNA base pairs to a specifier sequence within the T-box motif, and the NCCA acceptor tail of the tRNA base pairs to a conserved bulge in the T-box antiterminator hairpin. Lineage: Bacteria; Bacillati; Bacillota; Bacilli; Caryophanales; Bacillaceae. The record is from RNAcentral.
UAAAAUUCUAAGAAAAAGAGAGUAACUAUGAUGGAACGAGCAGCGAGUCAGGGUAGGUGGAAGCCUGAUACGGAUCCAAGUAGUGAACCGGACUUUUGAGAAGCCAUCCUGAACACCUAGUAGGGAUGGCCGGGAAUUUCCCGUUACCAAUAACCAAGUGGCUUUUUGUUAUAGCUAAAAGAGUGGUACCGCGAGCAUAAACCUCGUCUCUUAC